CCAAAGGGCCAGUAACACCAUUUGGGCCCAAACCCACCAUCACUCUCUCUCUCUCUCUCUCUCUCUCUCUCUCGAAA
Molecule: small RNA, 77 nt
Filed under: Arabidopsis thaliana (thale cress)
Lineage: Eukaryota; Viridiplantae; Streptophyta; Magnoliopsida; Brassicales; Brassicaceae
Description: ATSL048760
Source: RNAcentral